UCCACCCGAUGCGGCCGCCCUAUCUUCCUCGUCUAGUGAAGCAACGCCGCCCCAAUCUCCCCGCUUCGCCGCCGCCGCCCCCCGCCUUCCACUAUCACCAGCUCAGCCACCUCCACCCUCCUCUACAUCGCCGGAGGAACGGGCACACCUGGCGCGCCGCCUCGAGGCCGCGCUCGAGCAGGUGAGGAGGGAGUCGGUGCGGCAGGGCGCGGCGCUGGACGAGCUCAGGCGGCGGCUCGAGCGGCGGCGGGCGCGCGCGUACGACACCCCCUCCUCUCGAUCCAGAUGCGACCUCUCUCCCACUCCGCCGCCGCCCCUACUGCUCCGUCGCCGCCCCCUUGAUCUGUUUCCUACAUCGAUUGUCAAGAAUGCCCCAGCCGCCAUAGCCUCCGCCGCCGAUGUCCGGCUGAGACGCGCCAAGGAGAUCUCGCGACUCCGCCAUGUUGCAUGCCGCCUCCCCUUUUCAAGAUGGGGAGCUCGAGCGACCUCGAGCAACUACCACCGCCGUCGUCACGUAUGGCCCUACGAGCUCGUACAGCGUGUGCCCCGCCCUCCCUCCUCCGCCCCUGUCAGCCACGAAGGCUAUGCCCGUCUAUGGAUUCUCAGUCUCAGGGAAUGCUCACCUUAGGCCCUGUACGGUGGUCGGUGGGUAGCUUGACGUUGUUGAGGCUCUCGAAUAUUGUUGAUCGAGUCAAUGGAUGUUUCCUAGUUGCUCUUAUGGUGAGGAUCAGGUACUUCUCUUCGACGAUGAUGUCGCCAACACAGCAGAUGUAGCUUGUGGAUCCCACGGCAUGACUCAGAUGCUGACAAUGAACCGGACUACCCGUUGUAAUCUGAACACCUAAAGAAGGUUCCUAUACUCCUCCAUGUUGGUUAACAUUUGCUUCAGGAUGAUGUUCAGGUCAGGGCAGGACUUGAGGGAGGGCGUGGUUGUUGGAGGACGCCGCCGCCGCCAUCACGGAACUCUAGGGUCAGGGGGUGGUCUGCGGUCAGCGAGGACCGGCAAGGCCAUGUCAAUCGUUCCCUACAUCACGGAUCAUCAGAGAUAUUUACAUUCUCGAGGAGCGGCGCAAGGCCGUGCCCUAUAUCACCGAACAUCACAGCAAGGAGCGGCGCAAGGCCGUGCCCUACAUCACCAAACAUCACAGGUAUACAAAUACAAUGUGAGGGCGCUGGAAGCACACUCAUUGAGAGGGACCUCUGCCAGCUUUUGUUCAAGAUGGACGAGCGAAGACACGUCCGAAUGACCGCCAAAUUGUGGCAGAGGACGUGAGUGGCCAGGACCAUUGCGAGCCGGGUAGACGCAGGCAUGGUGAAGUGUGUUGGCAGAGCAGAUAUGGGAAGUUGGGCAGGGACCAGCGGAGUGGCAGGCGUUGCAACGGAGUUCGGAGGACGUAUCAUGGUGGGAGGUGGGGCAACACGGGUCUUCGGUCUGAAGAGUUAUUUUAUCAACUGUUUUUGGAUAUAGUUUUCUCAAUGGCUCUGUCUGCAAGGGGCAUGUUGGAGAGGCUAGGAGCAAGGAUUUUGUAGUAAAGAUAUGGUCUGGGAUGGAAACAUAUUUGGGAGAUAUGUUGCUGGGAACAAAGAAAAUAUUUACUUGUCAGUUUCCUGUUAUCUCUUUCUCUCCCUGUCUCAUUGCACUUACAUGUGAUUUUAGCUUAUGUCCGUGCACAAAUUUUAUCCAGAAACCAAAGAUUAAAAUCGCGGGAGAAAUAUAAGCUAUCGUGGAUCUGAAACCGCCCCGCGAUUUGCACGGCUCAGUAAAUAGCGGGAGAUCAGGCGAUUGCACCAUUAUUUCCUUAAUCGUCGUUGCAAAAAUCCCGGCCGCGAUUCUCUCUCGCCCGCGAUUUUAAUCUUUGCCAGAAACCAAAAAGAAGAAAAUGUUUAAACUGUUGCUGGCAUCUUAGAAGCCGUUGCAAGCUUCGACCAUAUGGACUAGCUUUUGUCGAUUAAAACCAUACAGGUAGUUCUUGUAAGAUACUUUCAUCUAUUCUCUAAUUUACUUGCAGUAUGAAUUUUUUCACCACAUUGGCUUUUGGAGAAAAUGCUUGCUUGAGAAUUUAAGAGUUGAAUGCUCGAAUGACAGAUUAUGAGAUACUGAGAAAGGAAAUAUUGCCUUUAGUGUGUUCAUUUAAUGAAGUGAUUGGCCUCAUUCGCAAAUAAUAAAUAAAAAUGAAGUUAUUGGCCUCUUUUCUAUUUGUUGCCCCAUUUUUAUAUUGACAUUGGGCAUUUAGAUACAACUAAAGGUUUUUUUUUUUAGAUUUGUAUUGUUCUUAUGCAGAAAUCAGUCGACGCCAUUGCCCAGGUCAUGCUCCCAGCCUGCACCAAAAAUUCAUCCGCCAACGAGUGGGAUUGAUAUGCAGUAGGACGUCCAUCUCAAGCAUUCUCCGGAUAUGGCCAAACUACUGUCCAGGCCGCAUGGUGGAGAGAGGAUACUCAACUUUGGAGGACAGUGCCUCAAUGGCGAUCAACUGCGGAUUCUUAUUGAAGGACUGGCGACCAUACAAAUUUGUUAACAGUUUUCAGGGAAUAUGGUACCGCAUGAUGGAGGAUGGUAGAAAAUCAGAUCUAAGUUUGCACCAAAUGUGACUUUGCCUUUCUCAUAUGGAAAUGUCUCACGCCGACGCUAUAUCUAACACUGACAUUCAGCGACGUUUUGCACCGUCACCCUCUUGGGAGCGUUGUCAUUGAGCUCGGGGGUCGUUGUUCGUGCCUCGGCGAGGUGUUAGGCUUGUUCUAGGCUCAUGUUGUAUCUUUUGAUCUACUUUGUAAGGGGACCUCUCCACAAUAUUGUAUCGUUCGGCCGUGUACUUUGGUUCGUUGCUUAAAGCAGGGCGAAAGCCUGUUCCGAGAGAGGGAUAAGUGCCAAUCGGCCAGGUUUCUGAUCCUGGCGCAUGUGCUAAGUACCGAGUGUUGGUGCUUCCCUAAGGGGACGAUCAAGGAGCAUAACAAAGAUGUAGUGACAAAAAUAUAGCGGCAUAGUUUAUUAGAUCCGAUGGCCUGAUGGAGAAGGAUGAAUAGAGGAGAAAAAAAUCACAUGUAUAUUAGCGAGGUGAGUGUAGAAAGAAACGUCUUGAAAAUAGGAAAUGAGGAAGGCAAAAGUUUCCUCUAGAUAGAAAAAGAAGACUAAUAUUGGGGUUCUCUAUAUAACAA
Long non-coding RNA from Triticum dicoccoides, 3153 nucleotides. RefSeq lists it as uncharacterized. The record is from RefSeq and is a predicted model, not a curated record. NCBI's taxonomy places the organism in Eukaryota, Viridiplantae, Streptophyta, Magnoliopsida, Poales, Poaceae. The transcript is spliced from 11 exons.